AUCCAGCCGAUGUGUCCCAAAUAGGACGAAACGCGCGUCCUGGCU
RNAcentral lists this non-coding RNA (45 nucleotides) under Schistosoma haematobium. The record is from RNAcentral. Lineage: Eukaryota; Metazoa; Platyhelminthes; Trematoda; Strigeidida; Schistosomatidae.